GCUGAUUGACUGGCGAUGGAGAUGCAGCAGUGACCUGCAAUUCUUUCUGCUGUGGAUGGUUCAUUUUGAAAUCUUUUUUAUAUCUGACAAGACACAAGAAAACAACAUAUCUAUCCUGUUAUAUUUACCACUAUCAUCUACAGUGAGUGCUAAGUUGCCCAUAAAUUUUAGUUGACUUCUGUUCAGAGUGAUCUGAAAAAUAGAUAGCAUAAAAGAUUAGUGGGUAUUACAUUUAGAUUAGUUACAUUUGGGCAAAUAAAUGAGUAGAAGUCAAUUUUGUUUGCUUGAUGUUUCACUUCUUUGAUCUCUUCAUCAUUCUCAUUUUGUUUCAUUGCUUACCAUUUGUUCGAAAAAAUUUCUAGCAGUGGCAAGCAUGGUUAGGGCGAGCAACGAGGGUUCCUGUAGUGCAUAACCAUUUCAAGUCGCCCAAGUUCUAAAGAGAGAUCAGAAGUGCCAGCUACUGAAGCAAAAAAAAGGACCUGAUACACAUUGUAAUCAUGGACUGCUGAUAUACCUGAUGCAUUUCUUCAUGAUGGUCGAUUUCCUUUCACCGGAUCUUACAUGUUUAAUUAUGUGUGCUCGGAACCAAAAACUGAUUGAGAUCUUCAGUUCUUACUUGCAGAUGUUCUGUUAUUCAGAGUAAUUCAGUUUCCAGUCUCUGUUUAUUAAUCAAAUUAUGGGUUAUUUUCAACCAUAUAGGCUUUUAUUAUAUGUUCAGUUAUGCUUCCAUGGGUUUUGCAUAUGUAUUAACAAAACAACCAGACUGCUAUUCUGUAUAUACUUGGAUCAAAGGGUGUACAAUUAAUUUAAUCUUACGAAAGGAAUGAGUAGGCAGCUAGCAAAAUGGGAGGACAAUCAUGACAAGCGAAGGAACACAUAAAUAGUAAUCCCACAAUUUUUACAACUGCAUUCCACUUUAAUUUGGUAUGGACAUGCAUUUUUAUCCUUGGAGUACUUUGGAUUUUAAGUGGGAAUCAUUGGUUCUUUUCUUCUUAAUAUUUUACUUCUUAUAAUUACAAAUACCAAUUUUAGAGAAUUGAGCUCGUACUUAAAAUUCAAUUGAGUAUGAAGCCACUGCCCAUUGUGUGAAAGAAACAAUUAUAACAUUGUACUCUAACAAAUCACACAUAUAGAGAAAUGUUAUUUUCGAGUCUCCUUAACCUACUGAUCUUUUUUUAGAUAUAUGAAACUUGCAUUUGUUUUCUUAAUUCUUCUGCAAUGCAGGUGAUAUUCCUAAUGGUUGCUGCUGACGCUUAAAAAAUUACUCCUGAAGCACUAGAAGUGCCCUCUCUAUGGCGCAUCACUCACUGGAUCCAGAUGGGCAACAUUCCGCUUCAAGAUUAAAGAGUACAGUUUUUGCAUGCUAUCAUUGCUUAUCCAAGAGUAAUCUACCAUGUGCCUAAUAUAUAUACAUGAUUGUUGCACCAUCACAAGAUUUCCAUUAUAUACAUGGGCAUAACUUUCUUUACUGUGAAUUAAUCGACACGAUGCUUCUGUUUUAAGGAAUGGCAAUGCUAAAUUCUACAGUGGUACUCUCUACUCUGUCGAAUGUUUACAAACACCACAAAGCUAGAGAUCUAUUGUGGAAACCUUUCUUUCUUUUGUUUGUUAUAACUUCUUAGUGUAAAAAUAAAUAUGGCUUGUCCAUUAGGAAACAAAUAUGUAAGAUUUAUUACUUUUCAAAGUUGAAUUGUUCCUGACAAUUACACAUGAGAGUGCAUAUAAUUCAGUUGUGCUGACUUGCUGUUUCUAAAAUGAUAAGCUGGAGUUGGAGUUACAUAUGAGAGUAGAGAUAAUUUAGUUGUGCUCCUGACUUGAUUAACAAAAGCUGCAGAAGAAAGGGACAAAAUACCAAAAAGCUGAAAAUUUGAAGAAAGGUGGAAGUAGGGAACUACACAACUUGAUUCAAGGUUACGAAGGGACAAAGGGCAUUGAUUGAGCAGGAGAAAACAAUAAUGGGCCGAGGCAAGGAUAUAGUGCUCAGUUAGUAAAGAGAUAUGUGGGAAGUGGAGCAGCGGGAUGCAAAUGGAAUUUUUGUGACUCACUGAAGGUGAGCAAAACUUUAGAAAAGAAAUUGCAACAGAAGUAGAGCCUCAUCACCAAGAGAGCAUAGGGAUUUUAAGUUUUUUGUAGCCUGCACCGGAGACUGUAGAGUUAAGUUUCUACAUCUCAGUGUACAGUUUAACUAUAUCAGGUUAUUUACUAUGAAGUAAAUAUUUGCUUUUGCCAUUGUUGAUCAUGUCCUUCUCUCUGUGCUUGGAAGCAUAAACUUACUUAGCGAUCCUUUUCUGUUAGGCUAAACUUACAUCCUUCUGCUAAUAGUUUAGUGAUAUAAUGAUUAUAAUGAUUAUUCAAAAGGGACGUUGCAUGUUCCUAGAUGCAUAGCCUUUCUUAUAUAUGUUUUCAUAACACUGGAUUUUUUUAGGGAUAACGCUGGGAUUUUAGUCUUUUUGUUGAAUUCCGAAACUGAAAUCCGAAUAAACCAUAUCUUGAAAGGCCGGCAUAAUGGCACUUCAAAUAAAUGCUAAUCUACACUCACACUGCAGGAUGGUGCCCGUUCUUCUGGUGAUUUGGUCAAAGCUACUACUAAGCAAAGAUAUUUUGCAUGCUAUAAGAACAUGUAGGUUCAUAUCGGGCACCCAUACGAUCCUGCAAAGAAUUUUGACUCACUUUGAUAUAUUAGCAACAACAUCGUUUAAAAUCCAAACGAAUGGCAUACUCCCUGUUAAUUCAAAUGCAGAUACAAACUUUAAGAUUUUCUAAAUAAGAAAAUAUAUUUACAGUCCAAGUGUAGUAAUCUGGGAGUUUGAAAUCAUUUCCCCUUUUUAAAAAGCCAGGGACAUGGAAGUUAAUAUUCACAUACAUGGCAGGGAAGGAUUGAUCUCUCUGCUUAGCAAUGAAUUUGUAGCACCCGAUGAAAACAAAUAUUGUGCAGACCCUAUGGCGUCACUGUGUUAGUAGGCCGUAUUGGCGUUGCAAUCUCUUCUUGGACUAACUAAUGCAUAGGUUAUAAAGCACAUCAAACCUUUUGUAGACCAACAAAUCCAACAUGCUAUGUAGAUCUUGUGUGUACGGAUUAAUCUGAUUGAUGACUGAUGGAAAGCUUCAGGACUUGUAUUCCCCCCUCACCCCAUAUCUGUAGUUUCCUAUGAUUCACUUUCAAAUCUGGAUAUUCUCCUAUAUAUUAACUACUGCAUUGGAGGAAAUUAAAUCACUUGCAAUCUACAAUUAAAGAAUAAUUAAGUGGGACCUUGAGAAACAAUAGUUUGCCAUGGUCUGCAAUGGGGCAGAGCCAAAGAGUUUGACCAGAAUAAAAGUCUGGACAACAAAAUUCAAUGGAGAGAGAUAUCCAUUUGUUACCCACAAAUGAUUAUUUUUUUGUUAGUGCCUCUUCUUCUUUCUUGCCCAUUAUUUAGUUAUAACGUGACAAAAUAAACAUGUUGAUUAUACCCGACUUGCACUGAACAUGAAAUUUUUGUUUAUGCACAAACAUGCGAGUUGUGUAGUACUGUAAGUUGACACUGCAUCGAAACAUAACACACAAUUACAUGUGCGUGUAUAAGGAGAAACUAUACCUGCAGCACACAUCCAUCUAUCUCGGUUUAUGGGAGAACUGGCAAAUUUAUGGUAAUGAAGCAUGUAGCUGAGGUGUGAGACAAAUCUUCCGUAGAGUGUUAAUGUUGUUAGUAGUAAUUAACUUGUCUCCUAGGAGCUAACUGCAGCAACUUACCUUGACUGUUAGAUACAGUAUAGCAUUAUUCAUCUUCAUCCAUGAUUGAUUCUUCUGUUUACUGCAAUUCUUUGACAAUUCUUAGCAUCACACAACCAAAGGUGAGAAGCAAAAAUUUGAAGCACGGAACAAAAAAUUCACAAACCAAUGCAUUUAGUAACCAUCGUGGUUCUUACAGGUCCUUUGCAAUCCAAAUUCCAGUUCUAUGACUUGCAAGGAAGGAUGAAGUCCAUGUCAUGAAAAUUUUAAUAUGUGGUCGCUGCCUCCUCCAGCCAUGGAUUUCAAAGGUACGCAGAUUCACCUACAACAUGCAUAUGGGAGAACUUGCAGAUCUGAAGGAAUCAAGCAUCUAGCUAAGGUGCUUGUAGCCACGAUCAGUGCUCCAUCGAGCAAUUUCUUAGGGCUGCACAGAUGCAACAACCUGGUAGAUAGGAUCAUCCUCUAUCAAAAAUAGCCAAAGGAAAAUGUCAGCAUCAGAGAUCCCAUAUAGGCCAGGAUAAUGUCAAAAUAUCUUGGCAUGGGCACGUGGCUCAUAGCCUCAACUUGAGACCGUUUACUCCAUGCUCGUGGUGGAGGCCUAGUCUCGACGGGGGCAUGGCAGUGGCGUGCGUUAGGAUUGGAUUCCGUCGAAGACCUGGGAUUGAUUUUCUAGCUGAGGCUGCGUGCGUGAGGGCUUGAGAGUCGGUUGUAGCCAUGGGAUUCUGGCGGCGGCAGCGUGCGUGAGGGCAGGGGAGUCUGUAGCCCUAUUAUGUUUUUCUUCUUUCAACAAUGGACUCAGGUAAUGGGAAAACUAAUCUAUGGCAUGGCCCUGUAUAUUUUGUCUUCUUUUCACGAUGGAGUCAAGGUUUCUAAAAAAAUUAUGGCAUUGCUGAAUCGUAGAGGCAGGUGAAAGCUAUUUUGAUGCAGCAUAUGCUUUAGUAGGAGUUAUCUCUACCUCUCUAUCUCUACCUAAUCUCUACCUAAUAAUAAAGCAAAUUGGGUUUCUGCUUGUCCGUCAUUAGCAUUUUUGCUAAAAAGCCCCUCCUUUUUUAGUAUUUAACUCGCAGUACAAUUUAAAGUAUGUUUCUUCCUGAGAUAAUGAUUCAUUUUUUGCAAAAAGGACCCUGGCACCACCACCACAGCCCCGCCUUAUCCACUGCCGGCCUUCACAAACGGGCAGCGGCGCGCUUGCCGCGGUGUCCGCUCCGCCCGAGCCCAGUAAUGGGGCAAGGCGUCGCGGCGGCGUUCCUGCACGCCUUGUCGGCCUUGGAGCUAGCCUUGGCGGGGGCGGGCCGAGGCGUCGCGGCGGAGGACGAUAAGCAGACGGGCAAGCGCCGCCGGCGCGCUUGCCGUGGGCGUCCACUUCGCCCGAGCCCAGGAGUGGGGCGAGGGGUCGCGCCGGCGUUCCUACGCGCCUUGUCGCCCUUGAAGCUGGCCUUGGCGGGCCGAGGCAUCGCGGCGGAGGACGACAAGGCGGCCGGCGUGCUCUGUUGGGGCGACGCGUCGCGGCGCUCCGGCUCCAGCAGAUGACGGCAGAGAGCCAGGUGUGGCUUUGUGUCGCCAACAGCCACGAGGUCAUCGGCGCCGGCCACCGUGCCAGGCUGGACCAGCUGCUGCAGCCCCCCUGCGCCGUCGCCGUCGCCGUCGCCGUGGCACAAGAAGCGCGAGUUCCCCCCGCUGUCGGAGGCUGGGUGUCGUUCUCUAGUGCAGAUUGUCUAAUUGAGUUUCUGAAAGCGUCGUCCACGUCUGCACUUCAUGGGUCCGUACACUGGGAACUCACGCCUGAGAACUUCCUGCUCACCAGAUUGGUUUCAGUUUCUCUGUCUGCAUCGAAGAAGGUCAGCACUUUGCCUCGAACAGUUUCAUGAUUACACUCAUGACAUGAUUUACAGUACAGUAGUCUCAUGCGUUGAGCACUUGAGCUCAUAAUACUGCAAUACGGACAUACAUUUUCCAAGCAUAAAUUAAUGAAGAAGUUAUUGCAACAGGAGGGCCUCUAAUUGUAAUUCAUAUACACAUUUCAGCUCAAUAACCAUAUAACGCAUCUUGCCCGAGCUUGAUACUUCCGACUAUCUCCAUGUCUUUCGGGUCAAAGUUAAGUUAGCUCUAUAUACGAGCAGGCAUUUUAUUCUUUGGGAGCAAGCAAGAAUCAACAUAUUCUCUCGCAAUAUUAUCUCCUCCUUCCCCUUGUCAUCCUAAUCCCCUGCAGAUGGCAUGACUAGCUAGGUUCAUAACAGUUGUUGUAACUAUCCGUCCGGUCAUGAAUCAACAAUUACAAUUGUUUUGACUUCUACAAUCAGUUCAGCCGCCUAUGUUGUACUGCCGCUGCCAUUUAAAGAUUUAAGUUGUCAGGUGGAUAUAGGUUCCAUUAGAUUGAAAGUAAUGAAAUUUUAUUUGCCAACCUGGCUGCACUUUGUGAUGCUUUAUUUAUGUAUAUACUUAAAGUUCAAAUGUGAUGUAUGCAUUACUCCUUAUUUGAUACUAGCAUUUGUCGCAAGCACCUUGCUAUUCUGAGUAAUGGUUGAUAUCUUACAUUUAGCCGAGAAGCUGAAAACUUACGAGUUGGAAAACCUUCUAGAUAUACCUAAAAAGACCUUGAAGAUAUCUUCUACUAGACUGGACGAGCUGAUUGACUGGCGAUGGAGAUGCAGCAGUGACCUGCAAUUCUUUCUGCUGUGGAUGGUUCAUUUUGAAAUCUUUUUUAUAUCUGACAAGACACAAGAAAACAACAUAUCUAUCCUGUUAUAUUUACCACUAUCAUCUACAGUGAGUGCUAAGUUGCCCAUAAAUUUUAGUUGAUUUCUGUUCAGAGUGAUCUGAAAAAUAGAUAGCAUAAAAGAUUAGUGGGUAUUACAUUUAGAUUAGUUACAUUUGGGCAAAUAAAUGAGUAGAAGUCAAUUUUGUUUGCUUGAUGUUUCACUUCUUUGAUCUCUUCAUCAUUCUCAUUUUGUUUCAUUGCUUACCAUUUGUUCGAAAAAAUUUCUAGCAGUGGCAAGCAUGGUUAGGGCGAGCAACAAGGGUUCCUGUAGUGCAUAACCAUUUCAAGUCGCCCAAGUUCUAAAGAGAGAUCAGAAGUGCCAGCUACUGAAGCAAAAAAAAGGACCUGAUACACAUUGUAAUCAUGGACUGCUGAUAUACCUGAUGCAUUUCUUCAUGAUGGUCGAUUUCCUUUCACCGGAUCUUACAUGUUUAAUUAUGUGUGCUCGGAACCAAAAACUGAUUGAGAUCUUCAGUUCUUACUUGCAGAUGUUCUGUUAUUCAGAGUAAUUCAGUUUCCAGUCUCUGUUUAUUAAUCAAAUUAUGGGUUAUUUUCAACCAUAUAGGCUUUUAUUAUAUGUUCAGUUAUGCUUCCAUGGGUUUUGCAUAUGUAUUAACAAAACAACCAGACUGCUAUUCUGUAUAUACUUGGAUCAAAGGGUGUACAAUUAAUUUGCUCUUACGAAAGGAAUGAGUAGGCAGCUAGCAGAAUGGGAGGACAAUCAUGACAAGCGAAGGAACAAAUAAAUAGUAAUCCCACAAUUUUUACAACUGCAUUCCACUUUAAUUUGGUAUGGACAUGCAUUUUUAUCCUUGGAGUACUUUGGAUUUUAAGUGGGAAUCAUUGGUUCUUUUCUUCUUAAUAUUUUACUUCUUAUAAUUACAAAUACCAAUUUUAGAGAAUUGAGCUCGUACUUAAAAUUCAAUUGAGUAUGAAGCCACUGCCCAUUGUGUGAAAGAAACAAUUAUAACAUUGUACUCUAACAAAUCACACAUAUAGAGAAAUGUUAUUUUCGAGUCUCCUUAACCUACUGAUCUUUUUUUAGAUAUAUGAAACUUGCAUUUGUUUUCUUAAUUCUUCUGCAAUGCAGGUGAUAUUCCUAAUGGUUGCUGCUGACGCUAAAAAAAUUACUCCUGAAGCACUAGAAGUGCCCUCUCUAUGACGCAUCACUCACUGGAUCCAGAUGGGCAACAUUCCGCUUCAAGAUUAAAGAGUACCGUUUUUGCAUGCUAUCAUUGCUUAUCCAAGAGUAAUCUAGCAUGUGCCUAAUAUAUAUACAUGAUUGUUGCACCAUCACAAGAUUUCCAUUAUAUACAUGGGCAUAACUUUCUUUACUGUGAAUUAAUCGACACGAUGCUUCUGUUUUAAGGAAUGGCAAUGCUAAAUUCUACAGUGGUACUCUCUACUCUGUCGAAUGUUUACAAACACCAUAAAGCUAGAGAUCUAUUGUGGAAACUUUUCUUUCUUUUGUUUGUUAUAACUUCUUAGUGUAAAAAUAAAUAUGGCUUGUCCAUUACGAAACAAAUAUGUAAGAUUUAUUACUUUUCAAAGUUGAAUUGUUCCUGGCAAAUUACACAUGAGAGUGCAUACAAUUGAGUUGUGCUGACUUGCUGUUUCUAAAAUGAUAAGCUGGAGCUGGAGUUACAUAUGAGAGUAGAGAUAAUUAAGUUGUGCUCCUGACUUGAUUAACAAAAGCUGCAGAAGAAAGGGACAAAAUACCAAAGAGCUGAAAUUUUGAAGAAAGGUGGAAGUAGGGAACUACACAACUUGAUUCAAGGUUACGAAGGGAAAAAGGGCAUUGAUUGAGCAGGAGAAAACAAUAAUGGGCCGAGGCAAAGAUAUAGUGCUCAGUUAGUAAAGAGAUAUGUGGGAAGUUGAGCAGCGGGAUGCAAAUGGAAUUUUUGUGACUCACUGAAGGUGAGCAAAACUUCAGAAAAGAAAUUGCAACAGAAGUAGAGCCUCAUCACCAAGAGAACAUAGGGAUUUUAAGUUUUUUGUAGCCUGCACCGGAGACUGUAGAGUUAAGUUUCUACAUCUCAGUGUACAGUUUAACUAUAUCAGGUUAUUUCCUAUGUAGUAAAUAUUUGCUUUUGCCAUUGCUGAUCAUGUCCUUCUCUCUGUGCUUGGAAGCAUAAACUUACUUAGCGAUCCUUUUCUGUUAGGCUAAACUUACAUCCUUCUGCUAAUAGUUUAGUGAUCUAAUGAUUAUAAUGAUUAUUCAAAAGGGACGUUGCAUGUUCCUAGAUGCAUAGCCUUUCUUAUAUAUGUUUUCAUAACACUGGAUUUUUUUAGGGAUAACACUGGGAUUUAAGUUUUUUUGUUAAAUUCUGAAACUGAAAUCCGAAUAAAAAAUAUCUUGAAAGACCAGCAUAAUGGCACUUCAAAUAAAUGCUAAUCUACACUCACACUGCAGGCUGGUGCCCGUUCUUCUGGUGAUUUGGUCAAAGCUACUACUAAGCAAAGAUAUUUUGCAUGCUAUAAGAACAUGUAGGUUCAUAUCGGGGAGCCAUACGAUCCUGCUAAGAAUUUUGAAUCACUUUGAUAUAUUAACAACAACAUCGUUUAAAAUCCAAACAAAUGGCAUACUCCCUGUUAAUUCAAAUGCAGAUACAAACUUUAAGCUUUUCUAAAUAAGGAAAUAUAUUUACAGUCCAAGUGUAGUAAUCUGGGAGUUUGAAAUUAUUUCCCCUUUUUACAAAGCAAGGGACAUUGAAGUUAAUAUUCACAUACAUGGCAGGGAAGGAUUGAUCUCUCUGCUUAGCAAUGAAUUUGUAGCACCCCAUGAAAACAAAUAUUGUGCAGACCCUAUGGCGUCAUUGUGUUAGUAGGCCGUAUUGGCGUUGCAAUCUCCUCUUGGACUAACUAAUGCAUAGGUUAUAAAGCACAUCAAACCUUUUGUAGACCAACAAAUCCAACAUGCUAUGUAGAUCUUGUGUGUACGGAUUAAUCUGAUUGAUGACUGAUGGAAAGCUUCAGGACUUGUAUUCCCCCCUCACCCCAUAUCUGUAGUUUCCUAUGAUUCACUUUCAAAUCUGGAUAUUCUCUUAUAUAUUAACUACUGCAUUGGAGGAAAUUAAAUCACUUGCAAUCUACAAUUAAAGAAUAAUUAAGUGGGACCUUGAGAAACAAUAGUUUGCCAUGGUCUGCAAUGGGGCAGAGCCAAAGAGUUUGACCAGAAUAAAAGUCUGGACAACAAAAUUCAAUGGAGAGAGAUAUCCAUCUGUUACCCACAAAUGAUUAUUUUUUUGUUAGUGCCUCUUCUUCUUUCUUGCCCAUUAUUUAGUUAUAACGUGACAAAAUAAACAUGUUGAUUAUACCCGACUUGCACUGAACAUGAAAUUUUUGUUUAUGCACAAACAUGCGAGUUGUGUAGUACUGUAGGUUGACACUUCAUCGAAACAUAACACACAAUUACAUGUGCGUGUAUAAGGAGAAACUAUACCUGCAGCACACAUCCAUCUAUCUCGGUUUAUGGGAGAACUGGCAAAUUUAUGGUAAUGAAGCAUGUAGCUGAGGUGUGAGACAAAUCUUCCGUAGAGUGUUAAUGUUGUUAGUAGUAAUUAACUUGUCUCCUAGGAGCUAACUGCAGCAACUUACCUUGAUUGUUAGAUACAGUAUAGCAUUAUUCAUCUUCAUCCAUGAUUGAUUCUUCUGUUUGCUGCAAUUCUUUGACAAUUCUUAGCAUCACACAACCAAAGGUGAGAAGCAAAAAUUUGAAGCACGGAACAAAAAAUUCACAAACCAAUGCAUUUAGUAACCAUCGUGGUUCUUACAGGUCCUUUGCAAUCCAAAUUCCAGUUCUAUGACUUGCAAGGAAGGAUGAAGUCCAUGUCAUGAAAAUUUUAAUAUGUGGUCGCUGCCUCCUCCAGCCAUGGAUUUCAAAGGUACGCAGAUUCACCUACAACAUGCAUAUGGGAGAACUUGCAGAUCUGAAGGAAUCAAGUAUCUAGCUAAGGUGCUUGUAGCCACGAUCAGUGCUCCAUCGAGCAAUUUCUUAGGGCUGCACAGAUGCAACAACCUGGUAGAUAGGAUCAUCCUCUAUCAAAAAUAGCCAAAGGAAGAUGUCAGCAUCAGAGAUCCCAUAUAGGCCAGGAUAAUGUCAAAAUAUCUUGGCAUGGGCACGUGGCUCAUAGCCUGAACUUGAGACCGUUUACUCCAUGCUCGUGGUGGAGGCCUAGUCUCGACGGGGGCAUGGCAGUGGCGUGCGUUAGGAUUGGAUUCCGUCGAAGACCUAGGAUUGAUUUUCUAGCUGAGGCUGCGUGCGUGAGGGCUGGAGAGUCGGUUGUAGCCAUGGGAUUCUGGCGGCAGCAGCGUGCGUGAGGGCAGGGGAGUCUGCAGCCCUAUUAUGUUUUUCUUCUUUCAACGAUGGACUCAGGUAAUGGGAAAACUAAUCUAUGGCAUGGCCCUGUAUAUUUUGUCUUCUUUUCACGAUGGAGUCAAGGUUUCUAAAAAAAUUAUGGCAUUGCUGAAUCGUAGAGGCAGGUGAAAGCUAUUUUGACGCAGCAUAUGCUUUAGUAGGAGUUAUCUCUACCUCUCUAUCUCUACCUAAUCUCUACCUAAUAAUAAAGCAAAUUGGGUUUCUGCUUGUCCGUCAUUAGCAUUUUUGCUAAAAAGCCCCUCCCUUUUUUAGUAUUUAACCCGCAGUACAAUUUAAAGUCUGUUUCUUCUUGAGAUAAUGAUUCAUUUUUUGCAAAAAGGACCCGGGCACCACCACCACAACCCCGCCUUAUCCACUGCCGGUCUUCACAAACGGGCAGCGGCGCGCUUGCCAUGGCGUCCGCUCCGCCCGAGCCCAGUAAUGGGGCGAGGCGUCGCGGCGGCGUUCCUGCACGCCUUGUCGGCCUUGGAGCUAGCCUUGGCGGGGGCGGGCCGAGGCGUCGCGGCGGAGGACGAUAAGCAGACGGGCACGCGCCACCGGCGCGCUUGCCGUGGGCGUCCGCUUUGCCCGAGCCCAGUAGUGGGGCGAGGGGUCGCGCCGGCGUUCCUACACGCCUUGUCGACCUUGAAGCUGGCCUUGGCGGGCCGAGGCGUCGCGGCGGAGGACGACAAGGCGGCCGGCGUGCUCUGUUGGGGCGACGCGUCGCGGCGCUCUGGCUCCAGUAGAUGACGGCAGAGAGCCAGGUGUGGCUUUGUGUCGCCGGCCACCGUGCCAGGCUGGAAUAGCUGCUGCAGCCCCCCUUAUUUGAUACUUGCAUUUGUGGCAAGCACCUUGCUGUUCUGAGUAAUGGUUGAUAUCUUAUAUUUAGCCGAGAAGCUGAAAACUUACGAGUUGGAAAACCUUCUAGAUAUACCUAAAAAGACCUUGAAGAUAUCUUCUACUAGACUGGACGAGCUGAUUGACUGGCGAUGGAGAUGCAGCAGUGACCUGCAAUUCUUUCUGCUGUGGAUGGUUCAUUUUGAUAUCUUUUUUAUAUCUGACAAGACACAAGAAAACAACAUAUCUAUCCUGUUAUAUUUACCACUAUCAUCUACAGUGAGUGCUAAGUUGCCCAUAAAUUUUAGUUGACUUCUGUUCAGAGUGAUCUGAAAAAUAGAUAGCAAAAAAGAUUAGUGGGUAUUACAUUUAGAUUAGCUACAUUUGGGCAAAUAAAUGAGUAGAAGUCAAUUUUGUUUGCUUGAUGUUUCACUUCUUUGAUCUCUUCAUCAUUCUCAUUUUGUUUCAUUGCUUACCAUUUGUUCGAAAUUUUUUCUAGCAGUGGCAAGCAUGGUUAGGGCGAGCAACGAGGGUUCCUAUAGUGCAUAACCAUUUCGAGUCGCCCAAGUUCUAAAGAGAGAUCAGAAGUGCCAGCUACUGAAGCAAAAAAAAGGACCUGAUACACAUUGUAAUCAAUGACUGCUGAUAUACCUGAUGCAUUUCUUCAUGAUGGUCGAUUUCCUUUCACCGGAUCUUACAUGUUUAAUUAUGUGUGCUCGGAACCAAAAACUGAUUGAGAUCUUCAGUUCUUACUUGCAGAUGUUCUUUUAUUCAGAGUAAUUCAGUUUCCAGUCUCUAUGUAUUAAUCAAAUUAUGGGUUAUUUUCAACCAUAUAGACUUUUAUUAUAUGUUCAGUUAUGCUUCCAUGGGUUUUGCAUAUGUAUUAACAAAACAACCAGACUGCUAUUACGUAUAUAGUUGGAUCAAAGGGUGUACAAUUAAUUUGCUCUGACGAAAGGAAUGAGUAGGCAGCUAGCAGAAUGGGAGGACAAUCAUGACAAGCGAACGAACAGAUAAAUAGUAAUCCCACAAUUUUUACAACUGCAUUCCACUUUAAUUUGGUAUGGACAUGCAUUUUUAUCCUUGGAGUACUUUGGAUUUUAAGUGGGAAUCAUUGGUUCUUUUCUUCUUAAUAUUUUACUUCUUAUAAUUACAAAUACCAAUUUUAGAGAAUUGAGCUCGUACUUAAAAUUCAAUUGAAUAUGAAGCCACUGCCCAUUGUGUGAAAGAAACAAUUAUAACAUUGUACUCUAACAAAUCACACAUAUAGAGAAAUGUUAUUUUCGAGUCUCCUUAACCUACUGAUCUUUUUUUAGAUAUAUGAAACUUUCAUUUGUUUUCUUAAUUCUUCUGCAAUGCAGGUGAUAUUCCUUGGUUGCUGCUGACGCUAAAAAAAUUACUCCUGAAGCACUAGAAGUGCCCUCUCUAUGGCGCAUCACUCACUAGAUCCAGAUGGGCAACAUUCCGCUUCAAGAUUAAAGAGUACAGUUUUUGCAUGCUAUCAUUGCUUAUCCAAGAGUAAUCUACCAUGUGCCUAAUUGUUAUGACCGGCCAUGUCUAUGGCCGCCGCAGGCCCAACAGGCAGUCUUAGGCCCGCAAGUUACCUUAGUUUUAUUCAGAUUAGGCAAGUUAUCUCAGGAUUGAUUCUUCUACAAGUUAUCUAGGAUAUAAAUAUAGAUUGUAAGACUCUUUUGGAUGGAAGCAAUAAAGACUAUUAUUAUCUUUUGUUGCCCGGCUCCUAGAGGAGCCGGAAACCCUAGCUGCCGCAACCUAGCUGCCACCGCCCUCAACCCUAGCCGCGACGGCACCCUGCCGCUGGCGCGCCCGCUCCUCGCCGCGCCCACUUCCUCUUUGCCCCUACAACCUACGCAGUAGAGCCGGUAGGAACCCUAGUCCUACCAAUUUGGUAUUCAGAGACCACGUUGUGAUCAUGUCGAUGCCGCCAUCACCGCCGCCGCUGCCCGUCCGCACCACCGCGCCCAUGACGACGGCGCCAAGCAUCACCGCGCCGACCGCAUCCGCCGGGACCUCGCUGGCGUGUCCCGUCUCCUCCUCGGCACCUCCUGCACCGGCGUCUCCGGGCGCAUCUCCACCACCACCGCUGGCCGCCUUGUCUCCGGAGCAACUCGCCGCCAUGCUACAUCACCUCGUCACCGUCGUCCACGGGCUUCAGCUCCACCAGCAAUAUGGGGCCGGCGCCUAUGCUCAACCGCCAUCGGCCCCGAUCGCCGCCCCUGGUCUUCUCCUACAGCAGCAGCCGCAGUACGGGGGCGGGGCGAGCCCCUUCGCGCCACCACCAGGAGCGUACCAGGGCGCGGCCGCGUACGGCGGGCCCCUGUUCGGGCCGAUCCAGGCGAGAUUGGCAUCCGGGCCAGCGCCGGCCGCGGCGCCCCUCUGGCCUUUGCCGCCGGCCACCUCGGCCGCCUCCUAGCUGCAGCAGCCGCCACCCACCGUCUGGCCGGUUCAGCAGAUGCCGUUCCUCGCAUGGCCGGCCCAGCAGCCGCCGCCGACGGCGUCCCAGGGCCUGCGUCCACCGCCGUUCUCCGCGCCCUCAUCAGCCGGGACCACCUCGGGCACGGCCUCGACUAUCGGGUUACUGAUCCAUCAGGUCCAGUUUCCCCCUUCCCCGUCCCCCCCUGCCAGCAUGGGCGGCGGGGUCUUCGCCUUCACCGGUCCACACCACGACCCCGGUUGAGCCGACUCCGUUUCCGCAGUUCGGCAGGCCAUCCGGCCCCGCCGGCCAGUACCCGGACUACUCCGAUCAGGCACCUCCGGCUUCACUCUUCCGAGCCCCCGCGCCUGCUCAGCACGGCGGGCCGCAGCAGACACCGCCGCUGUUCGCCAAACUCGACUUCGCCACCUACGAGGGCACGGAGGACCCCCUCAACUGGCUCAACCAGUGCGAACAGUUCUUUCGAGGGCAGCGGACACUCGCUUCAGAUCGUACCUGGCUCGCGUCCUAUCAUCUUCGAGGCGCAGCACAGACCUGGUACUACGCCCUCGAGUAGGACGAGGGCGGCAUGCCACCGUGGGAGCGCUUCCAGGAGCUCUGUCUUCUCCGUUUUGGGCCUCCUAUCCGCGGGAGCCGACUGGCGGCCCUCUGUCGUUUACCAUUCACAUCUACGGUGCAGGACUACGCCGAUCGCUUCCAGGCCCUGGCAUGCCACGCGCCGGGCGUCUCCGCGACCCAGCGCGCCGAGCUCUUUGUGGGCGGUCUGCCGGACCAUAUCCGCGUGGACGUCGAGCUCCGGGAUCCCCCCGAUCUCCAGACGGCCAUGUACUACGCCCGGGCCUUCAAGCAGCGGGUCCAGGCACUGCAGCCGCCACUCGGACGGAGUGGCCGCCAGCCCAGUCGGCCAGCACCAACUUCCUCAGCCCCGGGUCGGCCUCUCCCAUCCGCGACGGCCACAUCCCCGGCUGCCACACGGCCCUUCCGUCGGCUGUCACCGGCCGAGCAGCAGGAGCGUCGCCGUCAGGGUCUCUGCUUCAACUGCGAUGAGCCCUACACACCGACCCAUGUCUGCCCCCGCCUCUUUUAUUUAGAGACGGUCGACUACACCGAGGAGAACGACUCGCCCGAUCCGUUACAUCCGCCUGCGGCGCCCGAGGACGCGGCCGCGGAUUCCGCAGCGACGGCGUGCGUCGUCUCCCUUCACGCCCUGGCCGGCAUCCGGGGCGAGCAGACCAUGCUGCUGCCGGUGACGAUCCAUGGCGAGCGCCUGGUGGCCCUGCUAGAUACGGGCUCCACACACAACUUUCUGCCCGAAUCGACCAUGCGUCGGCUAGCCCUCCCGACGACGGGCGAGGAGCGCCUGCGGAUCACAGUGGCGAACGGUGAUCGCCUCCGGUGCCAUGGGCUAGCCCGCGACGUUCCCAUCUCCAUCGGCGACGAACACUUUUCCAUCACUUGUGCAGGGAUCGAUCUCGGCUGCUUCGACUUCAUCCUCGGGGUGGACUUUCUCCGGACCCUCGGCCCCAUCCUAUGGGAUUUCGAUGCACUCAUGAUGACAUUCUCGCGGCAGGGACGCCGCAUCCGAUGGGAGGGCAUUGGGGGCGCCGCGGCUGCCGUGCCACAUCUCCAGCUGGCUGCCGCGUCCUCGGAGGCUGAGCACCCCCUGCUGGAUUCUCUUCUGGAGCAGCACAGCGACCUCUUCGACGCUCCACGGGGUCUUCCACCUGCCCGGGUGUACGACCAUCAUAUUCACCUCAUACCAGGCUCCAGUCCGGUGGUGGUACGGCCCUACCACUACCCCCAGCUGCAGAAGGAUGAGUUGGAGCGCCAGUGUGCCCUGAUGCUCGCCGCACGCAUCAUCCGGAUCUCCACGUCACCCUUCACGGCGCCGGUGCUUCUCGUCCGUAAGUCCGACGGCACAUGGCGCUUCUGCAUCGACUACCGCGCCCUCAACGCACUCACGCUCAAGGACAAGUUCCCUAUACCGGUGGUCGACGAGCUCUUGGAUGAGCUCCAUGGGGCACGCUUCUUCACCAAGCUCGAUCUUCGGUCGGGCUAUCAUCAGGUGCGCAUGCAUCCGGACGACAUCGCCAAGACGGCGUUUCGCACCCACCAUGGCCACUUCGAGUUCUUGGUGAUGCCUUUCGGCCUCGCCAACGCCCCGACGACUUUCCAAGCCCUGAUGAACGACGUCCUUCGACCCUACUUACGGCGGUUUGUGCUUGUUUUCUUUGAUGACAUUCUUAUCUACAGCGCCACCUGGGCCGAACAUCUCCAGCACGUCGCCAUCGUCUUCAACGAGCUUCGGGCGCACCACCUCCACCUUAAGCGCUCAAAGUGCUCGUUCGAGACACCUACCGUCGCCUACCUCGGCCAUGUCAUCUCGGCCGACGGAGUGGCUAUGGACGCCGAUAAGGUGGCGGCCGUCUCCGCCUGGCCGACGCCUCACUCACCGCGGGCUCUCCGCGGGUUCCUCGGACUCGCUGGCUACUACCGGAAAUUUAUCCGGGAGUUCGGACUCAUCGCGGCGCCCCUCACGCGGUUGCUUCGCCGCGACGCCUUCGCCUGGGACGCUGAGGCGUCGACGGCAUUCGAGGCCCUCAAGGGGGCCCUCACGACGGGCCCCGUCCUCCAGAUGCCCGACUUCGACCGUCCGUUCGUGGUGGACUGUGACGCCUCGGGCACCGGGUUCGGCGCCGUACUUCAUCAGGGCGAUGGGCCCCUCGCCUUCUUCAGCCGGCCUUUCGCUCCGCGCCAUCUUAAGUUGGCCGCUUACGAGCGGGAGAUCAUUGGCCUCGUCCAGGCCGUGCGUCAUUGGCGGCCAUACUUGUGGGGGCGGACCUUCCACAUUCGCACGGACCACUACAGCCUGAAUUUCUUCCUGGAUCAACGGCUGUCGACCGUACCGCAGCACCAGUGGAUCAGCAAGCUCUUCGGCUUCGACUUCUCCGUCGAGUAUCGGCCGGGCCGUCUUAACACCGUGGCCGAGGCGCUAUCCCGUCGCGAUUCCGACCUCGCGCCAACCGCCGACGCGUCCGUCGGGACGGCCCUGUGCAUCCGCUUCGGGCCAUCGUUCGGUCUCUUCACCGACAUUCGACGCGCCACUGCGACGGCCGAUGACGCCGCACUUCUUCAGCAGCAGCUCACGGUCGGCGACUUGGAGGAGCCCUGGCGCUUCUCUGACGGACUGCUCCUGCAUGUACGCCGGAUCUUUGUUCCGGCGCAUGAUGAUCUCCGUCACCAGGUGUUGCAGCUCGCUCACUCGGCGGGCCAUGAGGGUGUGCAGAAAACCCUCCAUCGUCUUCGCGCCGACUUCUACAUCCUUGGCGAUCGUGCCCUGGUCCGCGACUGGGUUCGGUCUUGUCAGACUUGCCAGCGCAACAAGACAGAGACCCUGAGACCGGCGGGGCUCCUUCAGCCCUUGGAGGUGUCGUCUCAGGUUUGGGCGGAUAUCUCCUUGGACUUCAUCGAGGGCCUUCCCAAGGUAGGGGGCAAGUCAGUCAUCCUCACGGUGGUCGAUCGCUUCUCUAAGUACGCCCACUUCAUCGCGUUGGGCCAUCCGUACACAGCGGCAUCCGUGGCCCGGGCUUUCUUUGACGGCAUAGUCUGUCUACACGGGUUCCCGACGUCGAUCGUCAGUGAUCGGGACCCAAUCUUCACGGGCCAUGUCUGGCGCGACCUCUUCAGGAUGGCGGGUGUCCAGCUCCGCCUGAGUAUGGCGUUCCAUCCUCAGACGAACGGUCAGUCUGAGGUGGUUAACAAGGUCAUUGCCAUGUAUUUGCGUUGUGUGACAGGUGAUCGACCUCGCUCUUGGGUGGACUGGCUAUCUUGGGCGGAGUACUGCUACAACACUUCUUAUCACUCCGCCCUGCGCGCGACGCCAUUUGAGGUGGUCUAUGGUCGACCACCCCCGCCUAUACUUCCGGUCGACCCGAAGACGGCUCGGACAGCAGUAGCGGGUGACCUUAUCCGCACCCGUGAUGAGAUGCUGGCUGAGGUCCUUCAGCGUCUCCUUCAGGCCCAGCAGACGGCCAAGCACUACUACGACGAUCAUCAUCGCGAGGCGGAGUUCGCAGUGGCUGACUGGGUGUGGCUGCGUCUUCUCCACCGCUCUACGCAGUCACUGGACACGCGCGCAAAGCGCAAGCUUGGCCCUCGCUACGCCGGGCCCUUCCCUGUCGUGGAGCGCAUUGGGAAGGUGGCCUAUCGUCUUCAGCUUCCAGCCCGCGCCCGCAUCCACGACGUGUUCCAUGUGGGGCUGCUCAAACCUUUCCGUGGCGAGCCACCGGCGGCACCUCCGACGCUUCCUCCAACCGCCGAUGGUCGCAUUCUUCCAGAGCCAGCAAAGGUGUUGCAGGCUCAGCUCCGUCGUGGCGUCUGGUUCAUCCUAAUUCAGUGGGCGGGCCUUCCGGAGGAAGAGGCGACUUGGGAGCAGCGUGAGGAUUUCCGUCAACACUAUCCAGACUUUCAGCUCGAGGACGAGCUGUUUGCGCAGGCGGGGAGAGAUGUUAUGACCGGCCAGGUCUAUGGCCGCCGCAGGCCCAACAGGCAGGCUUAGGCCCACAAGUUACCUUAGUUUUAUUCAGAUUAGGCAAGUUAUCUCAGGAUUGAUUCUUCUACAAGUUAUCUAGGAUAUAAAUAUAGAUUGUAAGACUCUUUUGGAUGGAAGCAAUAAAGACUAUUAUUAUCUUUUGUUGCCCGGCUCCUAGAGGAGCCGGAAACCCUAGCCGUCGCAACCUAGCCGCCACCGCCCUCAACCCUAGCCGCGACGGCGCCCUGCCGCCGGCGCGCCCGCUCCUCGCCGCGCCCACUUCCUCUUUGCCCCUACAACCUACGCAGUAGAGCCGGUAGGAACCCUAGUCCUACCACUAAUAUAUAUACAUGAUUGUUGCACCAUCACAAGAUUUCCAUUAUAUACAUGGGCAUAACUUUCUUUACUGUGAAUUAAUCGACACGAUGCUUCUGUUUUAAGGAAUGGCAAUGCUAAAUUCUACAGUGGUACACUCUACUCUGUCGAAUGUUUACAAACACCACAAAGCUAGAGAUCUAUUGUGGAAACCUUUCUUUCUUUUGUUUGUUAUAACUUCUUAGUGUAAAAAUAAAUAUGGCUUGUCCAUUACGAAACAAAUAUGUAAGAUUUAUUACUUUUCAAAGCUGAAUUGUUCCUGACAAUUACACAUGAGAGUGCAAAGGUGAGAAGCAAAAAUUUGAAGCACGGAACAAAAAAUUCACAAACCAAUGCAUUUAGUAACCAUCGUGGUUCUUACAGGUCCUUUGCAAUCCAAAUUCCAGUUCUAUGACUUGCAAGGAAGGAUGAAGUCCAUGUCAUGAAAAUUUUAUUAUGUGGUCGCUGCCUCCUCCAGCCAUGGAUUUCAAAGGUACGCAGAUUCACCUACAACAUGCAUAUGGGAGAACUUGCAGAUCUGAAGGAAUCAAGCAUCUAGCUAAGGUGCCUGUAGCCACGAUCAGUGCUCCAUCGAGCAAUUUCUUAGGGCUGCACAGAUGCAACAACCUGGUAGAUAGGAUCAUCCUCUAUCAAAAAUAGCCAAAGGAAGAUGUCAGCAUCAGAGAUCCCAUAUAGGCCAGGAUAAUGUCAAAAUAUCUUGGCAUGGGCACGUGGCUCAUAGCCUGAACUUGAGACCGUUUACUCCAUGCUCGUGGUGGAGGCCUAGUCUCGACGGGGGCAUGGCAGUGGCGUGCGUUAGGAUUGGAUUCCGUCGAAGACCUAUGAUUGAUUUUCUAGCUGAGGCUGCGUGCGUGAGGGCUGGAGAGUCGGUUGUAGCCACGGGAUUCUGGCGGCGGCAGCGUGCGUGAGGGCAGGGGAGUCUGUAGCCCUAUUAUGUUUUUCUUCUUUGAACGAUGGACUCAGGUAAUGGGAAAACUAAUCUAUGGCAUGACCCUGUAUAUCUUAUCUUCUUUUCAUCAUGGAGUCAAGGUUUCUAAAAAAAUUAUGGCAUUGCUGAAUCGUAGAGUCAGGUGAAAGCUAUUUUGACGCAUCAUAUGCUUUAGUAGGAGUUAUCUCUACCUCUCUAUCUCUACCUAAUCUCUACCUAAUAAUAAUAAAGCAAAUUGGGUUUCUGCUUGUCCGUCAUUAGCAUUUUUUCUAAAAAGCCCCUCCCUUUUUUAGUAUUUAACACGCAGUAUAAUUUAAAGUCUGUUUCUUCCUGAGAUAAUGAUUCGUUUUUUGCAAAAAGGACCCCGGCACCACCACCACAGCCCCGCCUUAUCCACUGCCGGCCUUCACAAACGGGCAGCGGCGCGCUUGCCGCGGCGUCCGCUCCGCCCGAGCCCAGUAAUGGGGCGAGGCGUCGCGGCGGCGUUCCUGCACGCCUUGUCGGCCUUGGAGCUAGCCUUGGCGGGGGCGGGCCGAGGCGUCGCGGCGGAGGACGUUAAGCAGACGGGCACGCGCCGCCGGCGCGCUUGCCGUGGGCGUCCGCUUCGCCCGAGCCCAGGAGUGGGGCGAGAGGUCGCGCCGGCGUUCCUACACGCCUUGUCGCCCUUGAAGCUGGCCUUGGCGGGCCGAGGCGUCGCGGCGGAGGACGACAAGGCGGCCGGCGUGCUCUGUUGGGGCGACGCGUCGCGGCGCUCCGGCUCCAGCAGAUGACGGCAGAGAGCCAGGUGUGGCUUUGUGUCGCCAACAGCCACGAGGUCAUCGGCGCCGGCCACCGUGCCAGGCUGGACCAGCUGCUGCAGCCCCCCUGCGCCGUUGCCGUCGCCGUGGCACAAGAAGCGCGAGUUCCCCCUCGCUAUCGGAGGCUGGGUGUCGUUCUCUAGUGCAGAUUGUCUAAUUGAGUUUUUGAAAGCGUCGUCCACGUCUGCACUUCAUGGGUCCAUACACUGGGAACUCACGCCUGAGAACUUCCUGCUCACCAGAUUGGUUUCAGUUUCUCUGUCUCCAUCGAAGAAGGUCAGCACUUUGCCUCGAACAGUUUCAUGAUUACACUCAUGACAAGAUUUACAGUACAGUAGUCUCAUGCGUUGAGCUCAUAAUACUGCAGUACGGACAUACAUUUUCCAAGCAUAAAUUAAUGCAGAAGUUAUUGCAACAGGAGGGCCUCUAAUUGUAAUUCAUAUACACAUUUCAGCUCAAUAACCAUAUAACGCAUCUUGCCCGAGUUUGAUACUUCCGACUAUUUCCAUGUCUUUCGGGUCAAAGUUAAGUUAGCUCUAUAUACGAGCAGGCAUUUUAUUCUUUGGGAGCAAGCAAGAAUCAAUAUAUUCUCUCGCAAUAUUAUCUCCUCCUUCCCCUUGUCUUCCUAAUCCCCUGCAGAUGGCAUGACUAGGUAGGUUCAUAACAGUUGUUGUAACUAUCCGUCCGGUCAUGAAUCAACAAUUACAAUUGUUUUGACUUCUACGAUCAGUUCAGCUGCCUAUGUUGUACUGCCGCUGCCAUUUAAAGAUUUAAGUUGUCAGGUGGAUAUAGGUUCCAUUAGAUUGAAAGUAAUGAAAUUUUAUUUGCCAACCUGGCUGCACUUUGUGAUGCUUUAUCUAUGUAUAUACUUGAAGUUCAAAUGUGAUGUAUGCUUUACUCCUUAUUUGAUACUUGCAUUUGUCGCAAGCACCUUGCUGUUCUGAGUAAUGGUUGAUAUCUUACAUUUAGCCGAGAAGCUGAAAACUUACGAGUUGGAAAACCUUCUAGAUAUACCUAAAAAGACCUUGAAGAUAUCUUCUACUAGAAUGGACGAGCUGAUUGACUGGCGAUGGAGAUGCAGCAGUGACCUGCAAUUCUUUCUGUUGUGGAUGGUUCAUUUUGAAAUCUUUUUUAUAUCUGACAAGACACAAGAAAACAACAAUCUAUCCUGUUAUAUUUACCACUAUCAUCUACAGUGAGUGCUAAGUUGCCCAUAAAUUUUAGUUGACUUCUGUUCAGAGUGAUCUGAAAAAUAGAUAGCAAAAAAGAUUAGUGGGUAUUACAUUUGGAUUAGUUACAUUUGGGCAAAUAAAUGAGUAGAAGUCAAUUUUGUUUGCUUCAUGUUUCACUUCUUUGAUCUCUUCAUCAUUCUCAUUUUGUUUCAUUGCUUACCAUUUGUUCGCAUUUUUUUCUAGCAGUGGCAAGCAUGGUUAGGGCGAGCAACGAGGGUUCCUGUAGUGCAUAACCAUUUCAAGUCGCCCAUGUUCUAAAGAGAGAUCAGAAGUGCCAGCUACUGAAGCAAAAAAAAAGGACCUGAUACACAUUGUAAUCAUGGACUGCUGAUAUACCUGAUGCAUUUCUUCAUGAUGGUCGAUUUCUGUUCACCGGAUCUUACAUGUUUAAUUAUGUGUGCUCGGAACCAAAAACUGAUUGAGAUCUUCAGUUCUUACUUGCAGAUGUUCUGUUAUUCAGAGUAAUUCAGUUUCCAGUCUCUGUGUAUUAAUCAAAUUAUGGGUUAUUUUCAACCAUAUAGGCUUUUAUUAUAUGUUCAGUUAUGCUUCCAUGGGUUUUGCAUAUGUAUUAACAAAACAACCAGACUGCUAUUCUGUAUAUACUUGGAUCAAAGGGUGUACAAUUAAUUUGCUCUUACGAAAGGAAUGAGUAGGCAGAUAGCAGAAUGGGAGGACAAUCAUGACAAGCGAAGGAACACAUAAAUAGUAAUCCCACAAUUUUUACAACUGCAUUCCACUUUAAUUUGUCAUGGACAUGCAUUUUUAUCCUUGGGGUACUUUGGAUUUUAAGUGGGAAUCAUUGGUUCUUUUCUUCUUAAUAUUUUACUUCUUAUAAUUACAAAUACCAAUUUUAGAGAAUUGAGCUCGUACUUAAAAUUCAAUUGAGUAUGAAGCCACUGCCCGUUGUGUGGAAGGAACAAUUAUAACAUUGUACUCUAACAAAUCACACAUAUAGAGAAAUGUUAUUUUCGAGUCUCCUUAACCUAAUGAUCUUUUUUUAGAUAUAUGAAACUUGCAUUUGUUUUCUUAAUUCUUCUGGAAUGCAGGUGAUAUUCCUAAUGGUUGCUGCUGACGCUAAAAAAUUUACUCCUGAAGCACUAGAAGUGCCCUCUCUAUGGCGCAUCACUCACUGGAUCCAGAUGGGCAACAUUCCGCUUAAAGAUUAAAGAGCACCAUUUUUGCAUGCUAUCAUUGCUUAUCCAAGAGUAAUCUACCAUGUGCCUAAUAUAUAUACAUGAUUGUUGCACCAUCACAAGAUUUCCAUUAUAUACAUGGCCAUAACUUUCUUUACUGUGAAUUAAUCGACACGAUGCUUCUGUUUUAAGGAAUGGCAAUGCUAAAUUCUACAGUGGUACUCUCUACUCUGUCGAAUGUUUACAAACACCACAAAGCUAGAGAUCUAUUGUGGAAAC
RNAcentral lists this long non-coding RNA (23388 nucleotides) under Triticum aestivum (bread wheat). RNAcentral's name for it is "long non-coding RNA (TAES_LNC001013)". Lineage: Eukaryota; Viridiplantae; Streptophyta; Magnoliopsida; Poales; Poaceae. The record is from RNAcentral.